GUCUGGCUGGCUCAGCCAAUAGAGCAUGUGACUCUUGAUCUCAGGGUCAUGAGUUCGAGGCCCAUGCUGGGUA
RNAcentral lists this transfer RNA (73 nucleotides) under Felis catus (domestic cat). It matches the Rfam family "tRNA". From Rfam's summary of the family: Transfer RNA (tRNA) molecules are approximately 80 nucleotides in length. Their secondary structure includes four short double-helical elements and three loops (D, anti-codon, and T loops). RNAcentral also lists the same sequence under 4 other names. The record is from Rfam by way of RNAcentral. Lineage: Eukaryota; Metazoa; Chordata; Mammalia; Carnivora; Felidae.